Molecule: ribosomal RNA, 1846 nt
Filed under: Pseudomonas aeruginosa
Lineage: Bacteria; Pseudomonadati; Pseudomonadota; Gammaproteobacteria; Pseudomonadales; Pseudomonadaceae
Description: bacterial LSU rRNA
Rfam family: Bacterial large subunit ribosomal RNA
Source: RNAcentral
GUCAAGUGAAGAAGCGCAUACGGUGGAUGCCUUGGCAGUCAGAGGCGAUGAAAGACGUGGUAGCCUGCGAAAAGCUUCGGGGAGUCGGCAAACAGAGUUUGAUCCGGAGAUCUCUGAAUGGGGGAACCCACCUAGGAUAACCUAGGUAUCUUGUACUGAAUCCAUAGGUGCAAGAGGCGAACCAGGGGAACUGAAACAUCUAAGUACCCUGAGGAAAAGAAAUCAACCGAGAUUCCCUUAGUAGUGGCGAGCGAACGGGGAUUAGCCCUUAAGCUUCAUUGAUUUUAGCGGAACGCUCUGGAAAGUGCGGCCAUAGUGGGUGAUAGCCCCGUACGCGAAAGGAUCUUUGAAGUGAAAUCGAGUAGGACGGAGCACGAGAAACUUUGUCUGAACAUGGGGGGACCAUCCUCCAAGGCUAAAUACUACUGACUGACCGAUAGUGAACCAGUACCGUGAGGGAAAGGCGAAAAGAACCCCGGAGAGGGGAGUGAAAUAGAACCUGAAACCGUAUGCGUACUAGCAGUGGGAGCCUACUUGUUAGGUGACUGCGUACCUUUUGUAUAAUGGGUCAGCGACUUAUAUUCAGUGGCAAGCUUAACCGUAUAGGGUAGGCGUAGCGAAAGCGAGUCUUAAUAGGGCGUUUAGUCGCUGGGUAUAGACCCGAAACCGGGCGAUCUAUCCAUGAGCAGGUUGAAGGUUAGGUAACACUGACUGGAGGACCGAACCCACUCCCGUUGAAAAGGUAGGGGAUGACUUGUGGAUCGGAGUGAAAGGCUAAUCAAGCUCGGAGAUAGCUGAUUCUCCUCGAAAGCUAUUUAGGUAGCGCCUCAUGUAUCACUCUGGGGGGUAGAGCACUGUUUCGGCUAGGGGGUCAUCCCGACUUACCAAACCGAUGCAAACUCCGAAUACCCAGAAGUGCCGAGCAUGGGAGACACACGGCGGGUGCUAACGUCCGUCGUGAAAAGGGAAACAACCCAGACCGCCAGCUAAGGUCCCAAAGUUGUGGUUAAGUGGUAAACGAUGUGGGAAGGCUUAGACAGCUAGGAGGUUGGCUUAGAAGCAGCCACCCUUUAAAGAAAGCGUAAUAGCUCACUAGUCGAGUCGGCCUGCGCGGAAGAUGUAACGGGGCUCAAACCACACACCGAAGCUGCGGGUGUCACGUAAGUGACGCGGUAGAGGAGCGUUCUGUAAGCCUGUGAAGGUGAGUUGAGAAGCUUGCUGGAGGUAUCAGAAGUGCGAAUGCUGACAUGAGUAACGACAAUGGGUGUGAAAAACACCCACGCCGAAAGACCAAGGGUUCCUGCGCAACGUUAAUCGACGCAGGGUUAGUCGGUUCCUAAGGCGAGGCUGAAAAGCGUAGUCGAUGGGAAACAGGUUAAUAUUCCUGUACUUCUGGUUACUGCGAUGGAGGGACGGAGAAGGCUAGGCCAGCUUGGCGUUGGUUGUCCAAGUUUAAGGUGGUAGGCUGAAAUCUUAGGUAAAUCCGGGGUUUCAAGGCCGAGAGCUGAUGACGAGUCGUCUUUUAGAUGACGAAGUGGUUGAUGCCAUGCUUCCAAGAAAAGCUUCUAAGCUUCAGGUAACCAGGAACCGUACCCCAAACCGACACAGGUGGUCGGGUAGAGAAUACCAAGGCGCUUGAGAGAACUCGGGUGAAGGAACUAGGCAAAAUGGCACCGUAACUUCGGGAGAAGGUGCGCCGGCUAGGGUGAAGGAUUUACUCCGUAAGCUCUGGCUGGUCGAAGAUACCAGGCCGCUGCGACUGUUUAUUAAAAACACAGCACUCUGCAAACACGAAAGUGGACGUAUAGGGUGUGACGCCUGCCCGGUGCCGGAAGGUUAAUUGAUG